RNAcentral lists this transfer RNA (67 nucleotides) under Lechenaultia ovata. Its description in RNAcentral is "partial tRNA-Leu". The record is from RNAcentral. Lineage: Eukaryota; Viridiplantae; Streptophyta; Magnoliopsida; Asterales; Goodeniaceae.
AAAUUUCUAGUAAAAGGAAAAUCCGUUGAUUGAAAAUAUCGUGAGGGUUCAAGUCCCUCUAUCCCCA